Molecule: unclassified non-coding RNA, 1342 nt
Filed under: Arabidopsis thaliana (thale cress)
Lineage: Eukaryota; Viridiplantae; Streptophyta; Magnoliopsida; Brassicales; Brassicaceae
Source: RNAcentral
UAUAUUGUUCACUUACAGAACAUUAUGCUGUCAAAAUUCUGACCUUGUUAAAGGUUAAAAAGAAUUGCGAAGUUUCUCACUUCUCUCAAAAAAAAAAUUUAAAUCCAUGCUAGGAAAUCAAGUAUAGUCUAUAUUUACUUUAUCAGUUUUAUCUCCCAUCCUAUAUAAUGUUAUUGUAUAUCAGUAUAUAUAUUUAGUGACUUUUGAGUUUCAUUGCAGAUAUGUUCCUCGAUUUUUAUCAUGGAAUGCCAAACAACUGGGUGUUCAGUGGCUCAUAUCAUAUUCCUGUAAGCUUAGAUUUCAAGUGGAUAGAAAUUCGUAGCGAAAGGAUGGAUGAAGUGUGGAUAUCAGGUCGUAGCGAGAAGAUUAAUGAAGUGAGACAUUGCGUUUUCAAGCCUUUUUCUACAGAAGUUAAUAAAUGGGAACCCCACCAGUUUUCAAGUCCAGAUGUUAUGGAAAAAGCCGUCUCUGUGAUGCGUUGCCUCAAGAUUAACGAACUUGUCAGGAAAAAAAUGUCCUAAAAGGGCGAGUGAAACUGUCAGAACAAGAAAAUGUCCUAAGAGGGCGAGUGAAAUUGAUGCACCAUUAUCAGAUAAAUCAAAGAAGACUAAUAAAAAACACGUCAAAACAAGAAAAUGGCCUCACAAAGAGAGACUAAUCGAAGAAUCUUUAUCAGCAGAGCAUAAACAAACUGAUUGCUUCAUAAGAUUAUACUCGGAAAUGGAAAGUUUGGAAAGGUAUUAUAUGUCUUCUCAAUUUUGCUCAUACUAUAUACCUAAAAUCUUUGUUAUGAUAUGAUAAGAUGAUAUGGGACUCAAUUUAAAGUCAUAGGGCCGUUGCGUUGUUCGCGUCGGCUCAUCAGAACAUCGAUAAGAAGAAUAGCUUUGCAUUUGUAUCUGAGGAGAUACGACGACAGAUGGAGAAUAUCAAAUCACAUAUCCUAACAAACGGGCAAGUUUCUUUAUUAGAUCACACAUAGGUUUUUAUCAUUCCUGUAUAUGUAUAUUAUACGAUGUUAUUAAUUAUUGUAAAGGAAAGUGUAAUAAUCCAGCCAAAUAUACGAGAGAACAUGUAGAAACGGGAAGUUUUUUUGAAAGGGCUGUAGCAUUGUUCUCGUUGGCUCGUAGAAACAUUGAGAAUAGAAUGAAAUCUGGAGCAGAGAUGAAGAAUUCCUCAGAAAUCGUAGCAUGUGUAUCCUCCAAGGAGAUACAUAAAGAGAUGGAGAAUAUUAAGUCCCAUAUCAUUACAAAUAGCAACCAUAUAAAGGUUAAGCUUGAGAAAGACUUUUAGUAUGUUAUGUUACACCCUGACCUUUUAUGUAUUGAUUUCUUGGGUCUUGUCC